CCCUUAGAUGUUCUGGGCCGCACGCGUGCUACACUGAGUGGAUCAGCGGGUCAGUUUGCGCGAAAGUGUUUCCUAAUCUUGAAAUCCGCUCGUGAUGGGGAUUGACGGUUGCAAUUUUCCGUCAUGAACGAGGAAUACCUUGUAAGCGCGGGUCAUCAUCCCGCGCUGAAUACGUCCCUGCCCUUUGUACACACCGCCCGUCGCUCCUACCGAUUGAGUGGUCCGGUGAGGCUUUGGGAUCUGAGCGGAAAGAGCGUUUCGCUGUUUCUGCUCGGAAAACUCAGUCGAACCUUAUCAUUUAGAGGAAGGAGAAGUCGUAACA
This 322-nucleotide ribosomal RNA is filed under the name uncultured eukaryote. RNAcentral's name for it is "partial 18S ribosomal RNA". It matches the Rfam family "Eukaryotic small subunit ribosomal RNA", at positions 1470 to 1796 of the family's 1831-position model. The record is from RNAcentral.